AUUUUGACAAAAGAUUUGAACAGGAAGUUACGAGCGGAAGUGUUAUUGUAGCCAUUUCGACCGUGCCACAACGAUGCCGACAGCUCUCUUUGCCACCCCUACAACGUGCUUGUUCAAGCAGCUCCUUUUCUUUCAGGUUUUGUGCUUAGAAAGAGUGACAUGAUGCAGGAUGGAGUUGUGAGGAGUUCCCGGACACGGUCAGAGAUGGCUGGAACAGUCGGAUGGAUUUGCAAUCAUGCAAUAAAUGCCCACAUAAGACGCCAUGGUCAAAUGGUUGGAGAUCGUUGAGAGUUUGCAGCUAUUGAUGAAAGUUGUUUCCUUAAUAAAAGCAAGUAUCACCACAGAAGGGCCGGUGCAACAUGGCGACGGAAAAAGUGGGUAUUAAGAAUAUUAGGAGUAGGUGACCGCCAGAAACAUCCUGUCUUGUGGCUGGUGUGGUUAAACAAGUGCGUCCGGGAACCACCGUCAUCAGUGACCAAUGGGGCACUUACAGGAGUGCAUUGACUGCGACAGGCUACAGGCACUUCACAGUGAACCACUGUCAGUAGUUUGCGGAUCCAAACACCUUGCGCGCCUCCCAGUAUGUCAACCCCAGCUUUCUCUGUGGACCAUGCAACUUGGACUUUCCGAGUUUCAUAUAGGACAAUGCAUCUUGCUCUGCAUCUGUAAACCAUGGAUUCAUCUUUUGGACAUUUUCAGGAGAAUGGCUGUGUGUGUGUGUGUGUGUGUGUGUGUGUGUGUGUGUG
Engraulis encrasicolus (European anchovy) is the source of this 746-nucleotide long non-coding RNA. RefSeq lists it as uncharacterized. The transcript has 3 exons. NCBI's taxonomy places the organism in Eukaryota, Metazoa, Chordata, Actinopteri, Clupeiformes, Engraulidae. The record is from RefSeq and is a predicted model, not a curated record.